Long non-coding RNA from Panicum virgatum (switchgrass), 398 nucleotides. RefSeq lists it as uncharacterized. The record is from RefSeq and is a predicted model, not a curated record. Lineage: Eukaryota; Viridiplantae; Streptophyta; Magnoliopsida; Poales; Poaceae. The transcript has 2 exons.
CCCCCAUCAGCUCGCAGCACCGCGGCGCUUCGAGCCGAGCGAUAAAGCCCCGCCGUGACGAGGCUGCUUGCAAAGAAGAUGUGAUGAUACCAACAUGCUCAUGUUUUUCUUCCAAGGUACUACUAGCAUAUCUCGAGGUGAAAUCACAAUUUUUCUCUCUUUUUUUGUGAAUGAUUGUAAUGUACGGUUAGAGUAUAGUAAGAUGCUGCUGUUAGUUAAUGGAGUAAUUAAUGCGGAAAAAAAAAGAGAUGCAGGUAGAGUAAUUUACAAGUACGAUGAAAGAACACGAUGAGACUGAGGAAUGAGUCGAGAAAAGCAUGCAAGGCGUGCUGGCGAGCUAGAGAUUGCAAUGUAAUUCCUCUAAGAAUUGAGAAGAAACGUGCUCCCAUCUUACGAAA